RNAcentral lists this long non-coding RNA (293 nucleotides) under Macaca mulatta (Rhesus monkey). RNAcentral describes it as "lncRNA (ENSMMUG00000063435.1)". Lineage: Eukaryota; Metazoa; Chordata; Mammalia; Primates; Cercopithecidae. The record is from RNAcentral.
CUUAACGAGGAAACACAUUACGGAAGUUGGGAUUUGUUAUUUGCAGUUACUUUUGUGAAUGGAUGAUAUUUCUUCAUAAUUUUGCAUUGAUUCUUUGCAUCAUAGAGGAAUUCAUUUGUUACCAGCAAGGAGUGGGACCAUUACUCCUGGCGUUCCCAGAUGGAACAGACACCAAGCCUGGCUUUGCCACUGAACACAAUACAAAACUGAUAAUGCAGGUCAGUUAUUAGGAAUAUGCUUCCCAACUGUAGAAAUCAACAUAAGAUCCCAAUUUUAAAUAACAGGUAGAAUAG